RNAcentral lists this ribosomal RNA (1344 nucleotides) under metagenome. RNAcentral describes it as "bacterial LSU rRNA". It matches the Rfam family "Bacterial large subunit ribosomal RNA", at positions 1564 to 2925 of the family's 2925-position model. The record is from RNAcentral.
UGAAUACGAGACGCUAAGGCGUCGAAGUAGUGUAUGUCAUGCUUCCAAGAAAAGCUUGCACUGUCAUAGAUAAAAAACGCCUGUACCAUAACCGACACAGGUGGGUAGGUAGAGUAUACUAAGGGGCGCGAGAUAACUCUCUCUAAGGAACUCGGCAAAAUAACUCCGUAACUUCGGGAGAAGGAGUGCCUUAUUCGUAAGGUUGCAAUAACAAGAUCCAAGCAACUGUUUAUCAAAAACACAGGUCUCCGCUAAGUCGUAAGACGAUGUAUGGGGGCUGACGCCUGCCCAGUGCCAGAAGGUUAAAGAAGUCGGUUAGCAAUUGCGAAGCUGGUAACUGAAGCCCUGGUGAACGGCGGCCGUAACAAUAACGGUCCUAAGGUAGCGAAAUUCCUUGUCGGGUAAGUUCCGACCCGCACGAAAGGCGUAAUGAUUUGGAUACUGUCUCGGAGAGGGGCUCGGUGAAAUAGACUUGUCUGUGAAGAUGCGGACUACCUGCACCAGGACAGAAAGACCCUAUGAAGCUUUAUUGUAACUUGAAAUUGAAAUUGGACUUUAUUCGCGCAGUAUAGGUGGGAGGCGUUGAUUAUAAUCUUGCGGGAUUAUUGGAGCCAUCAGUGAGAUACCACCCUUGUAAUGUUAGAUUUCUAACUUUGAAUCAUUAUCUGGUCAAAGAACAGUUUCAGGCGGGCAGUUUGACUGGGGCGGUCGCCUCCUAAACGGUAACGGAGGCGUACAAAGGUUUCCUCUGAACGGUUAGAAAUCGUAUCUAGAGUGUAAAGGCAUAAGGAAGCUUGACUGUGAGACCUACAAGUCGAGCAGGGACGAAAGUCGGUCUUAGUGAUCUGACGGUACUGAGUGGAAAGGCCGUCACUCAACGGAUAAAAGUUACUCUAGGAUAACAGGCUGAUCUCCCCCAAGAGUUCACAUCGACGGGGAGGUUUGGCACCUCGAUGUCGGCUCAUCGCAUCCUGGGGCGGUAGUACGUCCCAAGGGUUGGGCUGUUCGCCCAUGAAAGCGGUACGCGAGCUGGGUUCAGAACGUCGUGAGACAGUUCGGUCCAUAUCCGGUGUAGGCGUUAGAAUAUUGAGAGGAGCCUUCUUUAGUACGAGAGGACCGAGAAGGACAUACCUCUGGUGUACCAGUUAUCGUGCCAACGGUAAACGCUGGGUAGCUAUGUAUGGAGUGGAUAACCGCUGAAAGCAUCUAAGUGGGAAGCCCACCUCAAGAUAAGUAUUCUCAUCACGUAAGUGAGUAAGGUCACGGUAAGACUAACCGUUUGAUAGGCAUUAAGUGUAAGUACAGUAAUGUAUGUGCUGAGAUGUCCUAAUAGACCGAGGACUU